GCAAAGGCAGCAACGGGUUCCUCAUCCACCGUGUCCUCCUGCUCACCACGCACGGCACAAUCCCCUCGGCUGCCACGGUGGGUGCCGCUGACGUCUGGCUUAGCCACGGCUGACUUCUAGUUCGCCUGGUGCCGCAGAGGUUGUUUUCUUUCCAGGUUGUGGCAUGGAGGCAAAUGAGCUUGCACUGAUGAUUAUACUUCGCUUAGGAAUGGAUACCAUGAGAAUGCAACUUAAACCAUGUUUUAAUGUUUAGCUGUAAUGCUGUUUCGUUGUUUUGAGCCUGUGACUUUUUUGAGAACUACUCUGAAAUACAGACCUCAUGUGGACCAUGCCACUUUCGUGA
Long non-coding RNA from Phragmites australis (common reed), 343 nucleotides. RefSeq lists it as uncharacterized. The record is from RefSeq and is a predicted model, not a curated record. Lineage: Eukaryota; Viridiplantae; Streptophyta; Magnoliopsida; Poales; Poaceae. The transcript has 2 exons.